RNAcentral lists this ribosomal RNA (497 nucleotides) under uncultured bacterium. RNAcentral's name for it is "partial 16S ribosomal RNA". It matches the Rfam family "Bacterial small subunit ribosomal RNA", at positions 28 to 507 of the family's 1533-position model. The record is from RNAcentral.
GAUGAACGCUGGCGGCGUGCCUAAUACAUGCAAGUCGAGCGAACGGACGAGAAGCUUGCUUCUCUGAUGUUAGCGGCGGACGGGUGAGUAACACGUGGAUAACCUCCCUAUCAGACUGGGAUAACUUCGGGACACCGGCGCUAAUACCGGAUGAUCUUUUGCACCGCAUGGUUCAAAAGUGAAAGACGGUCUUGCUGUCACUUAUAGAUGGAUCCGCGCUGCAUUAGCUAGUUGGUAAGGUAACGGCUUACCAAGGCAACGAGGCAUAGCCGACCUGAGAGGGUGAUCGGCCACACUGGAACUGAGACACGGUCCAGACUCCUACGGGAGGCAGCAGUAGGGAAUCUUCCGCAAUGGGCGAAAGCCUGACGGAGCAACGCCGCGUGAGUGAUGAAGGUCUUCGGAUCGUAAAACUCUGUUAUUAGGGAAGAACAUAUGUGUAAGUAACUGUGCACAUCUUGACGGUACCGAAUCAGAAAGCCACGGCUAACUACGUG